AGAUCUUCGGGUCUAGUGGCGCACGGGUGCGUAACGCGUGGGAAUCUGCCCUUUGGUUCGGAAUAACAGUUGGAAACGACUGCUAAUACCGGAUGAUGACGAAAGUCCAAAGAUUUAUCGCCAGAGGAUGAGCCCGCGUAGGAUUAGCUAGUUGGUGUGGUAAAGGCGCACCAAGGCGACGAUCCUUAGCUGGUCUGAGAGGAUGAUCGGCCACACUGGGACUGAGACACGGCCCAGACUCCUACGGGAGGCAGCAGUGGGGAAUAUUGGACAAUGGGCGAAAGCCUGAUCCAGCAAUGCCGCGUGAGUGAUGAAGGCCUUAGGGUUGUAAAGCUCUUUUUACCCGGGAUGAUAAUGACAGUACCGGGGAGAAUAAGCUCCGGCUAACUCCCGUGCCAGCAGCCGCGGUAAUACGGAAGGGAAGCUAGCGUUUGUUCGGAAAUUACUGGGCGUAAAGCGCACGGUAGGGCGACUUUGUUAAGUUUAGAGGUGAAAGCCCUGGAAGCUCAACCCCCAGAACUGCCUUUAGAACUGCCUUUUCUUGAAUCCUGGAGAGUGUGAGUGGAAUUUCC
RNAcentral lists this ribosomal RNA (572 nucleotides) under uncultured bacterium. Its description in RNAcentral is "bacterial SSU rRNA". It matches the Rfam family "Bacterial small subunit ribosomal RNA", at positions 80 to 671 of the family's 1533-position model. The record is from RNAcentral.